RNAcentral lists this unclassified non-coding RNA (394 nucleotides) under soil metagenome. Its description in RNAcentral is "partial contains 5.8S ribosomal RNA, internal transcribed spacer 2, and large subunit ribosomal RNA". The stretch from base 1 to 119 matches the Rfam family "5.8S ribosomal RNA", at positions 35 to 154 of the family's 154-position model. The record is from RNAcentral.
GAUGAAGAACGUAGCAAAUGCGAUAAGUAAUGUGAAUUGCAGAAUUCAGUGAAUCAUCGAAUCUUUGAACGCACCUUGCGCUCCUUGGUAUUCCGAGGAGCAUGCCUGUUUGAGUGUCAUUAAAUUCUCAACCAUUAUCAACUUUUGCUGAUAAUGGCUUGGAUGUGGGGGUCUAUUUUGCUGGCUUCUCAGAUAGUCAGCUCCCCUUAAAUGCAUUAGCCGGUGCCCCGCGUGGACUGUCUAUUGGUGUGAUAAUUAUCUACGCUAUAGACAUCUGCAAUCAUAUGGGUUUGCGCUGCUUCUAACAGUCUGUUGAUUCAGACAAUACAUGACAAUUUGACCUCAAAUCAGGUAGGACUACCCGCUGAACUUAAGCAUAUCAAUAAGCGGAGGA